Molecule: microRNA precursor, 89 nt
Filed under: Medicago truncatula (barrel medic)
Lineage: Eukaryota; Viridiplantae; Streptophyta; Magnoliopsida; Fabales; Fabaceae
Description: medicago truncatula miR156c stem-loop
Rfam family: mir-156 microRNA precursor family
About the family: This family represents the plant microRNA (miRNA) precursor mir-156. Animal miRNAs are transcribed as ~70nt precursors and subsequently processed by the Dicer enzyme to give a ~22nt product.
Source: Rfam by way of RNAcentral
GUGACAGAAGAGAGUGAGCACACAUGGUGUUUUCUUGCACGAUUAUGUUUCCUGCUUGAAGCUAUAUGUGCUUACUCUCUAUCUGUCAC